AACGAACGCUGGCGGCAUGCCUAACACAUGCAAGUCGAACGAGACCUUCGGGUCUAGUGGCGCACGGGUGCGUAACGCGUGGGAACCUGCCCUUAGGUUCGGAAUAACUCCCCGACAGGGGUGCUAAUACCGGAUAAUGUCUUCGGACCAAAGAUUUAUCGCCUUUGGAUGGGCCCGCGUUGGAUUAGCUAGUUGGUAGGGUAAAAGCCUACCAAGGCGACGAUCCAUAGCUGGUCUGAGAGGAUGAUCAGCCACACUGGGACUGAGACAUGGCCCAGACUCCUACGGGAGGCAGCAGUGGGGAAUAUUGGACAAUGGGCGAAAGCCUGAUCCAGCAAUGCCGCGUGAGUGAUGAAGGCCUUAGGGUUGUAAAGCUCUUUUACCCGGGAUGAUAAUGACAGUACCGGGAGAAUAAGCUCCGGCUAACUCCGUG
Molecule: ribosomal RNA, 433 nt
Filed under: uncultured bacterium
Lineage: Bacteria
Description: partial 16S ribosomal RNA
Rfam family: Bacterial small subunit ribosomal RNA
Source: RNAcentral